RNAcentral lists this unclassified non-coding RNA (211 nucleotides) under Hevea brasiliensis (rubber tree). The record is from RNAcentral. Lineage: Eukaryota; Viridiplantae; Streptophyta; Magnoliopsida; Malpighiales; Euphorbiaceae.
GGACCAGAAACUCUGUGGAGCGAUCGAUGUAAAACAAAUGGAGCGAUUGUUGAUUGUUGGGUUGUGGUGUGCUCAUCCUGAUCACAACCUGAGACCCUCCAUAAGGCAGGCUGCUCAGGUGCUUAAUUUUGAGGCUGGAGUUCCUAAUCUUCCAAUGAAGAUGCCUGUUGCCAUGUAUCAAGUUCCUGAUUACGCCUCAACUAGUUCUUCU